CCUACGGGUGGCUGCAGUGAGGAAUAUUGCACAAUGGAGGAAACUCUGAUGCAGCAACGCCGCGUGGAGGAUGACGCAUUUCGGUGUGUAAACUCCUUUUAUUAGGGAAGAUUAUGACGGUACCUAAUGAAUAAGCACCGGCUAACUCCGUGCCAGCAGCCGCGGUAAUACGGAGGGUGCAAGCGUUACUCGGAAUCACUGGGCGUAAAGGGUGCGUAGGCUGGCUUUUAAGUCAGAUGUGAAAUCCAAUGGCUCAACCAUUGAACUGCAUUUGAAACUGAAGGCCUAGAGUUCAGAAGGGGCAGAUGGAAUUAGUGGUGUAGGGGUAAAAUCCGUAGAUAUCACUAGGAAUAUCAAAAGCGAAGGCGAUCUGCUGGGAUGAUACUGACGCUGAGGCACGAAAGCGUGGGGAGCAAACAGGAUUAGAUACCCGUGUAGUC
This 440-nucleotide ribosomal RNA is filed under the name uncultured bacterium. Its description in RNAcentral is "partial 16S ribosomal RNA". It matches the Rfam family "Bacterial small subunit ribosomal RNA", at positions 338 to 795 of the family's 1533-position model. The record is from RNAcentral.